GAUGAACGCUGGCGGCGUGCCUAAUACAUGCAAGUCGAGCGAACAGACGAUGAGCUUGCUCCUCUGACGUUAGCGGCGGACGGGUGAGUAACACGUGGAUAACCUACCUAUAAGACUGGUAUAACUUCGGGAAACCGGAGCUAAUACCGGAUAAUAUAUUGAACCGCAUGGUUCAAUAGUGAAAGACGGUUUUGCUGUCACUUAUCGAUGGAUCCGCGCCGCAUUAGCUAGUUGGUAAGGUAACGGCUUACCAAGGCGACGAUGCGUAGCCGACCUGAGAGGGUGAUAGGCCACACUGGAACUGAGACACGGUCCAGACUACUACGGGAGGCAGCAGUAGGGAAUCGUCCGCAAUGGGCGAGAGCCUGACGGAGCAACGCCGAGUGAGUGAUGAAGGUCUUCGGAUCGUAAAACUCUGUUAUUAGGGAAGAACAAAUGUGUAAGUAACUAUGCACGUAUUGACGGUACCUAAUCAGAAAGCCACGGCUAACUACGUG
RNAcentral lists this ribosomal RNA (497 nucleotides) under uncultured bacterium. RNAcentral's name for it is "partial 16S ribosomal RNA". It matches the Rfam family "Bacterial small subunit ribosomal RNA", at positions 28 to 507 of the family's 1533-position model. The record is from RNAcentral.